RNAcentral lists this ribosomal RNA (497 nucleotides) under uncultured bacterium. RNAcentral's name for it is "partial 16S ribosomal RNA". It matches the Rfam family "Bacterial small subunit ribosomal RNA", at positions 28 to 507 of the family's 1533-position model. The record is from RNAcentral.
GACGAACGCUGGCGGCGUGCCUAAUACAUGCAAGUAGAACGCUGAAGAGAGGAGCUUGCUCUUCUUGGAUGAGAUGCGAACGGGUGAGUAACGCGUAGGUAACCUGCCUUGUAGCGGGGGAUAACUAUUGGAAACGAUAGCUAAUACCGCAUAACAAUGGAUGACACAUGUCAUUUAUUUGAAAGGGGCAAUUGCUCCACUACAAGAUGGACCUGCGUUGUAUUAGCUAGUAGGUGAGGUAAUGGCUCACCUAGGCGACGAUACAUAGCCGACCUGAGAGGGUGAUCGGCCACACUGGGACUGAGACACGGCCCAGACUCCUACGGGAGGCAGCAGUAGGGAAUCUUCGGCAAUGGGGGCAACCCUGACCGAGCAACGCCGCGUGAGUGAAGAAGGUUUUCGGAUCGUAAAGCUCUGUUGUAAGUCAAGAACGGGUGUGAGAGUGGAAAGUUCACACUGUGACGGUAGCUUACCAGAAAGGGACGGCUAACUACGUG